Molecule: long non-coding RNA, 2673 nt
Filed under: Homo sapiens (human)
Lineage: Eukaryota; Metazoa; Chordata; Mammalia; Primates; Hominidae
Description: HSALNT0315774
Source: RNAcentral
AACAACAAAACCAGGAAUUUAUUUCUCACAGCCUCUGAAGUCUGGGAAGUCCAAGCUCAAGGUGAAGCCUCCUCAGGUGGCAAAGAGCAGAAGCACAAAAGAGACCAAACUCCCUCCCUCAAGCUCUUUUACAAGAACACUGAGACAUUCACAAGUGCUGAGUCCUCAAACCUACUAACCUCCUGAAGGCUACACCUCAAAUACGGAUUGAAUUUUCGCAUGAGUUUUGAGGGACACCCAUUCAAAGCAUAGCACCCUUCGGCUUCAGAGAAGCUCCAGCCCUGUUGUCACCAAGCAGGUUCCCCCUAGGCAGAGCGCCAAGAAGCAGCCCAGGCGAUCCCAAGGCGCACAAGUGCUCUCACCAGGCUGCGCGCUGGCGGGUCGGUGCACAGGGACGGGGUCGCCGCCCACGCGCGCUUGGUUCAGGGAGCCCAGGCUGUCCCUACCCGCGGCUACAAAAGCUCGCCGAGUCUUCCUGUCCACCCAAUCGCCCCACAUGUCAGCGGUUGGUCGCCUCGCGGUGCAGUGCUGGGCACGCGAGCCCCUCCCGCAGUCAUUCUCAGCACAAGCACCAGCCUGGAGCCCCGCAGCGACAGAGCUGAGAGCCCCCAAGCCGCAGAGGUCGUGCGGAGCAGGUUGCAAAUGUCUUAGAAACACACUCCUGGACCACAGCUUCAAGAGACGCAAGCAGUCACCUCAUCUGCUGGUUUCCAAGCUGCCCUGCCAGAAGCAGGUCAGGGGUCCCACAGGGGUCCUCAGUAACUCCUCAAAAUCCUCUCCCAUCAAUGGCCCCACCAGAUCAUCCCUACUUUUGAAUGCUUGUCCAAUGCAGGUUCCAGAUUUGAUUAAGUGAAACAAAGCCCCAGCUGCUGGAGCAGAGGUUCCACUUGGGUUCCACAGACACCCACAGCCCAAAUCCCUGGAGGCCUAAGGCAAUAGCUAAUUGAGACUAUGCAUCACUAUUAAGGCAUCUUCACUAAAGGGCGCUGUGGAAACGCUGCCUGAGAUGCAGACACCUGUCAGAAGGGGGCUAAAUUUCAAACAAGGAACGUGGUGUUGCAUCACAAUAAAAACAGAAGAAACACACGUGUUCUUGUGUGUAAACCCAGUCCAUGGAAGAGACCGUCUGCUUGUCCCUCCUGAUCUCUGGGCCCAGACAACCAGUAGUCACCAUUCCAAGUGAGGGGUGGCUGCAACUCUACAGCCCCGUUCGUCUCUCCUCACUGUCAAAGCUGCUGAGACCCCAGACUCGACACUUGAAAGAAACCCAUGUCUGUGAAGCACUUGUGGACCAUUCAAGAUUGUGGAAGAAUCACUCAAGAGAAGGAGAUAGCAAUAUUUGCAGAUAUGCAAACUGGCCCCUUGCAUGCACAUCCUGGAGCACGUCCUGGAGCCUUUAGAGGAGACGGCUGCUGCUGUUCCAGUCUCUCCUUAGGCAGACUUGAGUUUCUACCCACUCUUCCCAAGCAGCCGCCCCUCCGCACCCGAGCGAGCCAAAGACCUGGCGGGCUGAGUACUCACUGCGCGCUGGACACAUGCUGAGCCGGCACUGCAGGGACACAGGGCGAGCCGCUGGAUGCAGACCUGUGGCCGCGGCAGUUGGGCUUAUCUUGCCCAUGAAGUUGCCUCUGAAGAACCAAGUCCAACUGUGUAUGCUGAGAGAUGUCUGGCUACUUCCUGAUUGACAGUUCUGGCAAGGUGGCAUUGGGCCCUGGCUUUUCCUCUGGAGGCAUCAUCACUUAUAGGAAAAUGUCCCCUGAAGUCCAAGGAUCAAAGCUGCUGGAACACUGAGAAGCUGAACAAAGGAGAACUGUUUCUCAUCAAACCCAGACUUCCAGACUUCCAAUAGGGUAGAAUGAGCAAGUCAGCAAAUCAUCUUCCUUGGAAACAGUGAUAAAACUAGAUGACAUUGUCAACAACAGCCAUUUCAGAAAUCUAGAAAAUGACCAAAGGCAAACAACAAACUGAGAAGCAUUUUUUUUUCCAUGAAAAAUCGCUCUAUUUCUGCAAAAAUAGUGGGAGUCUAUGGCUUCUCAUCCAGGGCUGUUUCUCUCCCCACCCCAGCUCAGUCAGUACAAAGGUUCUGGCAGCAUGAGGCAGACUGAACAGACCUGAAGUUUGAUUGCUGGAAGAAACUGACUCCAGGUUUGGCAGAGGGUGAGAAACCUACUCCCAGCCAUGUUGUCUGGUGACACAGUGACCUUAGGGACAAGUGAAUAGGGAAGGCCAGUGAUUCAUUAACCUGAGGUUGCAGUCCUGGUUGGGGAAAGCAUCAGAAUGGCAGAUAAGCUAGAAAUUUAGUAGGGAUAUGCUGGAAAUGAGACAACCCCAAAGGGGCUUGACCCCAAAGUUGUCCACACACCCCAGCUGCCUUCUGAGCAGAUGUAGGGAGAGACCAGAGAAGGCCUAGGCUAUCCACACAUCUCUGGCUAACCCAGGCUGUAAACCUGUGGAGGAGACACAAGAGGUGGAUUGAUUGCUAAUGGGCAUAUGGGGGAUCUUACUGGUUGAUAGGAACAUUCUCAAAUUGGAUUGUGGUGAUGCUUGCACAACUCUAAGUUUAUCCCAAAUUGCUAAAUUUUACACUAAAAAGGGGUGAACUUUAGGGUAUAUAAAUUAUACAUCAAUAAAGUUGUCAUAAAGCAUUCACAUUCUAAUAAAUGGCUCUAAGAA